AAGUCGAGCGGCAGGGUGCAGCAAUGCGCCUGAGAGCGGCGGACUGGUGAGUAGCGCGUGGGUAACCUACCCUUGGGAUGGGGAUAGCCAUUAGAAAUAGUGGGUAAUACCGAAUACGGUUGCGAGGCAGGGGCUUUGCAACGAAAGGGGCUUCGGCUCCGCCCGGGGAUGGGCCCGCGUUCCAUUAGCUAGUUGGUGGGGUAAGGGCCUACCAAGGCGAUGAUGGGUAGCCGGCCUGAGAGGGUGAACGGCCACACUGGGACUGAGAUACGGCCCAGACUCCUACGGGAGGCAGCAGCUAAGAAUAUUCCGCAAUGGACGAAAGUCUGACGGAGCGACGCCGCGUGGAUGAAGAAGGCCGAAAGGUUGUAAAGUUCUUUUGUUGCUGAAGAAUAAGCGGGGGAGGGAAUGCCCUCGUGAUGACGUUAGGCGACGAAUAAGCCCCGGCUAAUUACGUGCCAGCAGCCGCGGUAACACGUAAGGGGCGAGCGUUGUUCGGAAUUAUUGGGCGUAAAGGGCGCGUAGGCGGUUAUGUAAGCCUGGCGUGAAAUGGUAGGGCUUAACCCUAUCACGGCGUUGGGAACUGUGUAACUUGAGUCAUGGAGGGGGAGUUGGAAUUCCGCGUGUAGGGGUGAAAUCUGUAGAUAUGCGGAAGAACACCGGUGGCGAAGGCGAGC
Molecule: ribosomal RNA, 677 nt
Filed under: uncultured spirochete
Lineage: Bacteria; Pseudomonadati; Spirochaetota; Spirochaetia; Spirochaetales
Description: bacterial SSU rRNA
Rfam family: Bacterial small subunit ribosomal RNA
Source: RNAcentral